RNAcentral lists this ribosomal RNA (801 nucleotides) under uncultured bacterium. RNAcentral describes it as "bacterial SSU rRNA". It matches the Rfam family "Bacterial small subunit ribosomal RNA", at positions 8 to 809 of the family's 1533-position model. The record is from RNAcentral.
AGAGUUUGAUCCUGGCUCAGGAUGAACGCUGGCGGCGUGCUUAACACAUGCAAGUCGAACGAAGCACUUUGGACAGAUUCUUCGGAUGAAGUCCUUGGUGACUGAGUGGCGGACGGGUGAGUAACGCGUGGGUAACCUGCCUCAUACAGGGGGAUAACAGUUAGAAAUGGCUGCUAAUACCGCAUAAGCGCACGGUACUGCAUGGUACAGUGUGAAAAACUCCGGUGGUAUGAGAUGGACCCGCGUUGGAUUAGCUAGUUGGCAGGGUAACGGCCUACCAAGGCGACGAUCCAUAGCCGGCCUGAGAGGGUGGACGGCCACAUUGGGACUGAGACACGGCCCAGACUCCUACGGGAGGCAGCAGUGGGGAAUAUUGCACAAUGGGGGAAACCCUGAUGCAGCGACGCCGCGUGAGCGAAGAAGUAUUUCGGUAUGUAAAGCUCUAUCAGCAGGGAAGAAAAUGACGGUACCUGACUAAGAAGCCCCGGCUAACUACGUGCCAGCAGCCGCGGUAAUACGUAGGGGGCAAGCGUUAUCCGGAUUUACUGGGUGUAAAGGGAGCGUAGACGGAAUGGCAAGUCUGAUGUGAAAGGCCGGGGCUCAACCCCGGGACUGCAUUGGAAACUGUCAAUCUAGAGUACCGGAGGGGUAAGUGGAAUUCCUAGUGUAGCGGUGAAAUGCGUAGAUAUUAGGAGGAACACCAGUGGCGAAGGCGGCUUACUGGACGGUAACUGACGUUGAGGCUCGAAAGCGUGGGGAGCAAACAGGAAUAGAUACCCUGGUAGUCCACGCCGUAAACGA